CAGACUGAGGGCGAAACAGCAGGCAGGACUGGGUGGAGACGUUCGGGGACGUGGCAACUGGAGUUUCUUCUCCGUAUAUUUCGGCAUUCAGUUCCUUUUUUUUUUUGUUUUAACUCAGGAAAAAAUCUCAAUUGCGUUUAGUAUUUUGAAAGCCACUUUAUUGCUUCCCGAGCCUCAGUCAUGUGUGGUGGGAGGCUGCUGUGGGUGGCACCUGGGGCGUCCACGGCCGCCAAGGCGGGAGGACGUCAGGCCCUGCUUGCUCCCACCCCUUCCAGGUGAGAGCUCCCGGGCACGCCCGUCGUUGGCUCUUCGUCCUCUUGGUGUUCUUCCCUGUUGCUUCAAAUCAGGUUCCUGUCUCAAAAAUCCGAAAAAGAAAUCCUCCCAAAUGACUCUGUGCCCGACGCUCCGUUAAGGCAUCGUGCUAGGCGUUCUCAAACUCGUGAAAUGACUACACUGCACAGGUUAACCUCAUUGCUACUCUUCCCCUUGCCUCCUAAUUCUCUGGUUAAACUUCCGCCCCCGAGGUUUCUAGAAAUCCCUGAGCUGGAAUGCGCUGCCUUCAUUAAGAGGGUGUUCUGCUUCCGUCUGCUCACAUUCAUCUAGUAAGCCCUCUCGUUAAAGAGGAGGCAGCACACCGAGGCCUGUCUAGAACUUCUUUCAUUUAACCAACAGUGAAUAUCUAAUCUACAAGAAACUGGAGCCGUGGCAGUUUAGGAGCCUGCCAAGGUUGCAUCCCUGGGAGCUUAUUUUCUAUUGUGGGAGACAGGAAAAGAACAAGUGAAUCAACUGUGAAAUUAAAUAAUUCAAACUUAAAGCUGUUGGAACUUUAAAUUAUUCUGAGCCUUGCGAAGAAUGUGGCGAUGGGGCCUGAGUCCCAUGGCAUACAGCUGCAAUGUCUGCCUUGUUUUUUCCUAUAAUCAGGAAGACCAAACAGAGACAGAGUUCUGGUUAAAUCACACAAGUCCCUGGCAUGAGACCAAGAAGUCACAGAGCCCAGGUCUUAGCCCUCAGAGUGUGAGAGAAGACAUGAAGGCAUCAGGGACACUGUGCGAGUGGGCACUGCUGCUUUCCACUGCUCUCCCUAGACUGCAGCCAGGAGGCUGCCUCUGCCCUGCCAGGCGCACACACCAAGAAAGGCCAUGUGGGCACACAGCAAGAUGGUGCCUGUCUGCAAACUAGGAAAAGAGCCCUCACCAGGAACUGAAACAGCUGGCACCUUGAUGUUGGACUUUCCAGCCUCCACAACUGUGAGAGGCCAGCUGCCAGAAGCUUCUCACUCCGUGGAGACCUUGGAGUCGAGGAUGAAAUGUCUUACAACUGUGGGGAGACCUUGGCUUUUCCAAAGCCUACCAGGGUCCAGGACUUGGAAGCUAAGGCCCAGAGAGGAGGAGAAACUUGAUCAAAGUCAAUCAGACAAUGCAGAAUCGAGAAAAGUACCUGGACCUCUAUGCCCAUGCUUCUAGCAGCCAGCCUCCUAAAAUACCUCUAGUUGAAGCCAAAGUUAGAAUCCUUCUACGAAACUACAGGAUUAAAAUGGAAUGGUUACAUGACCCAGGCUUGACCAAUCAGAUCAUCCAAACCCUUUGCCACAGUGAUUGGUCCAGGGAUACAUGCAUGAGCCAGCUCAGGUAAAUGAGACUCAAUUAUAAGAAUUUUGUUAGCGCAAUUGGGAAAAAGAAGUUUUCUUUCCAUGAGAACUAUCAGCUAUAAGAAUGUUGGAUGCUUCCAUCUGCUGGAGUCCAUGAAGAAGGUCCAUGAAAAUGAAGCCAGCACAACAACACAGAGCUAAGACAUACAAAGAGAUGGAGAUUAAAUUGAAUGGAACUUUUAAGCCCCUACAUGCCCUUGAAGCCAGAUAUCCCUGAACUUUUAAUUUAUAUUAGUUGAUAAAGUCCUUCUUUAGCUUAAGCCAAUUUGAAUUAGAGUAUUUUUCACUUGGGGUCCAAAAGAGCUCUCAAUACAAAAGUCUGACUGAGUGCAUGAUGUGCUGGUUUCAACCUCAAGGGAACAGGGAAAGGGAAAGAAAGAGGCAGAGGUUGUGAACAGGACAGUAGAAGGUGGUCAGGAGACAAAUAUCUGGACUCAACUUUGUCCCUACUGUGUGGCCUUGAAUAGUGAGUUAACCACUCCGAGCCUCAGUUUCCCCAUCUGGAAAAAAAAGUUAGUGGACAGUCACUAGUUCUCAGACAGAACUCUGUAGCAGCGAGAGGGUAAUGGGGAUUGAGAGUCCCAGACUUGCAUUCUGAGGGACUAGCUCUCCUCUUAUCUAUAUCAUAUACCAGGUUUUCUUGUAAGGUUUUGUUAGAAUGGGUCUCACUGUUAAAAUGGAUUAGCUGAUCAUUUCAGUUCUAUUUAUAUUAAAGUCUAAAUUGAAUCAAGGCUCAGCUGGGGCCCAGUAAGAAUGUAGUGCCUGGUUAAUAAUAUUUUCUACUCUAUGAUAGGAGUUGGCCAGAAGCCAAGGUCAAAAACUCAAUCCCUGGAGGGUUUAUUUGCUUUCUGCAGACAUAAAAAAUUGUUAAUAACAAUGAUCUGCAUCCCCAAUCUUGAGAGCUGUCUUAGAGAUGUGGGUCAUUGAUCACAGAAGGGGCUGGGAAAAGGAAUGUGGAUGAUUCCAAAUAGUCAUUAGCUCUGCCUUAAAUGCCAAUACAAACACUACUGCCAAUGCUCAAGGCAAGCAACCUCUUCAUAGCUAGAACACAGAGGGUGGUGUGCUUGAAGGCUUUUGUUUCUCCUCAAGACAGUGUAGAAAAAGCUGAGAAAACAAAGAGCACUUGUUUCACAAUUAACUGCACAACACCUGAUGUAUAUCCACAGUCCUCUAAAUUAAUAUGGAUUCGCUUUUCUUUAUAAAGACAACAUACACAUUGUAGUGGAAAUCGGAUGGGAGGAUAAUUUUUAUGAAAGCAUAUAACAGUAUUUUUAUAAAAUAUAAAUUAUCAUUACAGUAAAAUAUAUUAACUUCAAGGCAAGUUUUGACACUGUAUGCAAGUUUAAAGUAUUUCAAAUUUUUAAAAAGUGUAUCUUAACAAAUAAAUUUUAGCACCAAUUGCCAGAAUUGUUGUCCACCACUAUAGUCAAAACAAUUUUCUUUUCUUUAUUUCAACUAAAAAUUGUGAAUGGGACUAAAGUCUUUAUGCAAAUAUAUACUCCAAUAAUAAUAUUAAUCUUGCCAACAGUAGCUGAAUAUUUAAUUAACUUUAACAAACAUGUUGAAAGAUAAUAAACUAAAAAAACUAUUUUUCCUUAUAGUCUCUGUAUAACUAGGUGCUUUCUCAUUAGAAAGCUUAUUUUUUCAAAAGUAUAUAUAACAUAGGUAAUUUAUAUUAAUAAAAAAUAAAAAGUUGCAAAUUUCUUGAGGUGUAAUUUCUCAUGUUGAUUAACUUCUGAUCUCUAUCAUUUUGCUUACAUGUACCAUAGAUACACAAAAACCAGAUGGGGGGCAGGGUAAUCAAUCUUAGGAGAGGGCAAUAGUUAAGUCAGACUAGGCAGAGUCAAGACAAGAGGCAGGCAGAGGGUUAGUUGAGGGCAAGUUAUGAAUGCCUCAGAACACAUCUCAGGAUUUGGAAACAAGCAGUAGUCUGGUCAAAUCCAAACUGGGAAACACAGAUGGCG
This 3612-nucleotide long non-coding RNA is filed under the name Homo sapiens (human). Its description in RNAcentral is "HSALNT0149989". Lineage: Eukaryota; Metazoa; Chordata; Mammalia; Primates; Hominidae. The record is from RNAcentral.